UUUUACUUGAGUCAUUUUCUAUUAUUUACUUUUACUCAAGUAUGACAAUUAGGGAAUUUUUUCCACCACUGCUUCUAUGGAAAAUGGCAUGUUGUUGUCAAUUUUAAGUUGCUUAAUAAUGAAACGAUGAGUUGGUGUUCAGGCUUCCGUGUUUUGUUUCCUCUGAGUGUCAGAUAUCAGGUCAAUAGGACCUGUCCUACAAUAUCCAUGAUAGGGUAUUUGCCCCCCUUUGGCCAAGCACCGUAGGCAUCGAUGACAACUGCCAGUCACGUCAACCCAGAGUGCAGAACCAGGUACGUAUGUGUCAGUCUUUAUCUGUUUGGACCGUGUCAGUCUUUAUCUGUUUGGACCACGUCAGGGUGGAUUGUCGGUUGUAUAUACUACAGAUGGCAUAUACAGACGUGGCAGGCAAGUAUAUAGAGGGAUUUCAAGCUCCCAUUAUGACAAUGGGUCGAUACCUCUUCUCACAGACAGCGUGUCUCCAUUUAAGUGUUGUGUGAUCUGACUCUGGACUCUAUAUUUGUUCUUCCUGUGUAGGGAACCUGCAGUACAACCAUGACUUCCUCAAUCAGCUGCGUUUUUGUGAGGCUGUCUGUGUCCGGCCACAGGAACUGGAGCUCAUCCCAAGGGUCAAUGACAACAACCUGAUCCUGAGGACAAGCAUCCUUCUGCAUCAAGACAGACUAUCUCCCACUACCUAAACCUGCGGUCAGCCUACGGACACUUCAUCCCUGGAACAGACUGAGCUGAGGUGGCCACCAUGCACUCUGAGGAUGGAGCUACGGUCGACUACAUCUUCUACUCUCCAAGGCGUGGCAAUUCUGGUGCUGAUCAGAAAGGGUUGUUUCCUACCUGAAGAAAAACGACUCAUCCCAAUGUCCAGGGGGGAUGGGAUGUCCUCUGAAGAAUCAUUUUUGUUUACAUGAAUAGAGAGAAAAAACUAACCAAGGUUAAAUUCAGUUAAGAGUUGGAAUUUAUUUGACAAAUUCUCUUACUGUUGAGAUUUGAAUGCAUGAAGCGUAUAGAUUUUAAAAGUUGAUAUUUUGUUUGGGGAUUUAGUUUACUCAGUUUGUUCACAAUCUGCUACACUUGUAAAUUAGAAUAUUCACACCUUUACAGACUGUGUUUGAUGAUGUGGUGUGUUUUGUCCCUUAUGGGCCAGUCAUUGUUUUCUUUUUCAAAAUGGUAGAAAUAUUGAAUAAAUAUUUUCCAGAUAACAACAUCA
Molecule: long non-coding RNA, 1225 nt
Organism: Coregonus clupeaformis (lake whitefish)
Lineage: Eukaryota; Metazoa; Chordata; Actinopteri; Salmoniformes; Salmonidae
Exons: 4
Source: RefSeq, a predicted model, not a curated record